UGAAUGAAAGUGUUAACAGAUUGCCUUGU
This 29-nucleotide small RNA is filed under the name Bombyx mori (domestic silkworm). Its description in RNAcentral is "ovarian small RNA-31149". Lineage: Eukaryota; Metazoa; Arthropoda; Insecta; Lepidoptera; Bombycidae. The record is from RNAcentral.